This 274-nucleotide ribosomal RNA is filed under the name uncultured bacterium. Its description in RNAcentral is "partial 16S ribosomal RNA". It matches the Rfam family "Bacterial small subunit ribosomal RNA", at positions 523 to 796 of the family's 1533-position model. The record is from RNAcentral.
AUACGGAGGGGGCUAGCGUUGUUCGGAAUCACUGGGCGUAAAGCGCGCGUAGGCGGUCUAAAAAGUUGGGCGUGAAAGCCCAGGGCUUAACCCUGGAACUGCGCUCAAAACUAUUAGACUAGUAUCCGGUAGAGGGUAGUGGAAUUCCUAGUGUAGAGGUGAAAUUCGUAGAUAUUAGGAGGAACACCAGUGGCGAAGGCGACUGCCUGGGCCGGUAUAGACGCUAAGGCGCGAAAGCGUGGGGAGCAAACAGGAUUAGAAACCCCGGUAGUCC